AGCAGUCGCGGUAAUUCCAGCUCCAAUAGCGUAUAUUAAAGUUGCUGCAGUUAAAAAGCUCGUAGUUGAAUUUCGGGACUAAUAUGUCGGUCGUGCCUCGGUACGUACUGGCUUAUUGGUUUCUCCUUUCUGAAGAACCAUGAUGUCAUUUAUUUGGUGUCGUGGGGAAUCAGGACUGUUACUUUGAAAAAAUUAGAGUGUUUAAAGCAGGCUCACGCUUGAAUACAUUAGCAUGGAAUAAUGAAAUAGGACGUUUGAUUCUAUUUUGUUGGUUUCUAGGAUCGACGUAAUGAUUAAUAGGGAUAGUUGGGGGCAUUAGUAUUCAAUUGUCAGAGGUGAAAUUCUUGGAUUUAUUGAAGACUAACUACUGCGAAAGCAUUUGCCAAGGAUGUUUUCAUUAAUCAAGAACGAAAGUUAGGGGAUCGAAGGCGAUCAGAUACCGUCGUAGUCUUAACCAUAAACUAUGCCGACUAGGGAUCGGAGAUGUUAAAUUUUUUUAAAUGGACUCAUUCGGCGCCUU
RNAcentral lists this ribosomal RNA (520 nucleotides) under uncultured Glomus. RNAcentral's name for it is "SSU rRNA". It matches the Rfam family "Eukaryotic small subunit ribosomal RNA", at positions 569 to 1089 of the family's 1831-position model. The record is from RNAcentral. Lineage: Eukaryota; Fungi; Glomeromycota; Glomeromycetes; Glomerales; Glomeraceae.